GCGCGGCCCGGCGCGCCCGGCUGGGUGGCGCGCGCGCGCGUGCCCACGCCGUCGUCCAAGGACUACGUCUACCGCCCCAAGUCCACGUGCGAGCUCGACAUGUCGCGGACCACCAAGAAGAAGAUGACGCGCUACGAGAAGCAGAUGAAGCGGUUCAUGGACCAGAAGCGCAUGAAGAGCGGGUCACGACGCGCCGUCGAGAUCUCCAUAGAGGGCCGCAAGAUGGCGUUGUAAUGUGAUGUUUUCUUUAAGUCAUAGUGUUUAAGUUGAUAAGGUUACUUACUAUUACGGAACUGAAUAAAUUAUGUGACGAA
Molecule: non-coding RNA, 314 nt
Organism: Spodoptera litura
Lineage: Eukaryota; Metazoa; Arthropoda; Insecta; Lepidoptera; Noctuidae
Source: RefSeq, a predicted model, not a curated record